UAGGGAAUCUUCCACAAUGGACGCAAGUCCGAUGGAGCAACGCCGCGUGAGUGAAGAAGGUCUUCGGAUCGUAAAGCUCUGUUGUUGGUGAAGAAGGAUAGAGGCAGUAACUGGUCUUUAUUUGACGGUAAUCAACCAGAAAGUCACGGCUAACUACGUGCCAGCAGCCGCGGUAAUACGUAGGUGGCAAGCGUUGUCCGGAUUUAUUGGGCGUAAAGCGAGCGCAGGCGGAAUGAUAAGUCUGAUGUGAAAGCCCACGGCUCAACCGUGGAACUGCAUCGGAAACUGUCAUUCUUGAGUGCAGAAGAGGAGAGUGGAACUCCAUGUGUAGCGGUGGAAUGCGUAGAUAUAUGGAAGAACACCAGUGGCGAAGGCGGCUCUCUGGUCUGCAACUGACGCUGAGGCUCGAAAGCAUGGGUAGCGAACAGGAUUAGAUACCCUGGUAGUCCAUGCCGU
RNAcentral lists this ribosomal RNA (456 nucleotides) under uncultured bacterium. RNAcentral describes it as "partial 16S ribosomal RNA". It matches the Rfam family "Bacterial small subunit ribosomal RNA", at positions 355 to 803 of the family's 1533-position model. The record is from RNAcentral.